This 253-nucleotide ribosomal RNA is filed under the name uncultured bacterium. RNAcentral's name for it is "partial 16S ribosomal RNA". It matches the Rfam family "Bacterial small subunit ribosomal RNA", at positions 524 to 776 of the family's 1533-position model. The record is from RNAcentral.
UACGGAGGAUGCGAGCGUUAUCCGGAUUUAUUGGGUUUAAAGGGUGCGUAGGCGGGCUUUUAAGUGAGAUGUGAAAUACUCGGGCUCAACUUGAGUGCUGCAUUUCAAACUGGAAGUCUAGAGUGCAGGAGAGGAGAAUGGAAUUCCUAGUGUAGCGGUGAAAUGCGUAGAGAUUAGGAAGAACACCAGUGGCGAAGGCGAUUCUCUGGACUGUAACUGACGCUGAGGCUCGAAAGCGUAGGGAGCAAACAGG